Molecule: ribosomal RNA, 253 nt
Filed under: uncultured bacterium
Lineage: Bacteria
Description: partial 16S ribosomal RNA
Rfam family: Bacterial small subunit ribosomal RNA
Source: RNAcentral
GACGAACCGUCCAAACGUUAUUCGGAAUCACUGGGCGUAAAGAGCUCGUAGGUGGUUUGUCGCGUUGUUCGUGAAAUCUCACGGCUUAACUGUGAGCGUGCGGGCGAUACGGGCAGACUAGAGUACUGCAGGGGAGACUGGAAUUCCUGGUGUAGCGGUGGAAUGCGCAGAUAUCAGGAGGAACACCGGUGGCGAAGGCGGGUCUCUGGGCAGUAACUGACGCUGAGGAGCGAAAGCGUGGGGAGCGAACAGG